CAGUAGAAUCAAGCCUGAGAGUG
Molecule: non-coding RNA, 23 nt
Filed under: Cricetulus griseus (Chinese hamster)
Lineage: Eukaryota; Metazoa; Chordata; Mammalia; Rodentia; Cricetidae
Source: RNAcentral